CCUACGGGAGGCAGCAGUGAGGAAUAUUGGUCAAUGGGCGGAAGCCUGAACCAGCCAAGUAGCGUGCAGGAUGACGGCCCUAUGGGUUGUAAACUGCUUUUAUACGGGAAUAACGCGCCUUACGUGUAGGGCUUUGCAUGUACCGUAUGAAUAAGGACCGGCUAAUUCCGUGCCAGCAGCCGCGGUAAUACGGAAGGUCCGGGCGUUAUCCGGAUUUAUUGGGUUUAAAGGGAGCGUAGGCCGCAUGUCAAGCGUGCUGUGAAAUGUCGGGGCUCAACCCGGGCCUUGCGGCGCGAACUGGCGUGCUUGAGUGCGCGGAAGGCAGGCGGAAUGCGUGGUGUAGCGGUGAAAUGCUUAGAUAUGACGAAGAACCCCGAUUGCGAAGGCAGCUUGCGGCAGCGGAACUGACGCUGAUGCUCGAAGGCGCGGGUAUCGAACAGGAUUAGAUACCCGUGUAGUC
Molecule: ribosomal RNA, 460 nt
Filed under: uncultured bacterium
Lineage: Bacteria
Description: partial 16S ribosomal RNA
Rfam family: Bacterial small subunit ribosomal RNA
Source: RNAcentral